This 767-nucleotide ribosomal RNA is filed under the name uncultured bacterium. RNAcentral describes it as "bacterial SSU rRNA". It matches the Rfam family "Bacterial small subunit ribosomal RNA", at positions 8 to 796 of the family's 1533-position model. The record is from RNAcentral.
AGAGUUUGAUCCUGGCUCAGAUUGAACGCUGGCGGCAUGCCUUACACAUGCAGGUCGAACGGUAACAGGCCGCAAGGUGCUGACGAGUGGCGAACGGGUGAGUAAUGCAUCGGAACGUGCCCAGUCGUGGGGGAUAACUGCUCGAAAGAGCAGCUAAUACCGCAUACGACCUGAGGGUGAAAGCGGGGGACCGUAAGGCCUCGCGCGAUUGGAGCGGCCGAUGUCAGAUUAGCUAGUUGGUGGGGUAAAGGCCUACCAAGGCAACGAUCUGUAGUUGGUCUGAGAGGACGACCAGCCACACUGGGACUGAGACACGGCCCAGACUCCUACGGGAGGCAGCAGUGGGGAAUUUUGGACAAUGGGCGCAAGCCUGAUCCAGCAAUGCCGCGUGGGGGAUGAAAGCCUUCGGGUUGUAAACCCCUUUUCUGGGGGACGAGGAAGGACGGUACCCCAGGAACAAGUCUCGGCUAACUACGUGCCAGCAGCCGCGGUAAGACGUAGGAGGCAAGCGUUAUCCGGAUUCACUGGGCGUAAAGCGCGUGCAGGUGGUGCUUUAAGUUGGGCGUGAAAUCUCCCGGCUUAACUGGGAGGGGCCGUUCAAUACUGAAGCACUUGAGGGCAGGAGAGGGAGGUGGAAUUCCCGGUGUAGUGGUGAAAUGCGUAGAUAUCGGGAGGAACACCAGUGGCGAAGGCGGCCUCCUGGCCUGUUUCUGACACUAAGACGCGAAAGCUAGGGGAGCGAACGGGAUUAGAUACCCUGGUAGUCC